This 477-nucleotide ribosomal RNA is filed under the name uncultured Bacillota bacterium. RNAcentral's name for it is "bacterial SSU rRNA". It matches the Rfam family "Bacterial small subunit ribosomal RNA", at positions 634 to 1110 of the family's 1533-position model. Lineage: Bacteria; Bacillati; Bacillota. The record is from RNAcentral.
UGAUGGGCUUGAGUGCAGGAGAGGUUAUCGGAAUUCCCGGUGUAGCGGUGAAAUGCGUAGAGAUCGGGAGGAACACCAGUGGCGAAGGCGGGUAACUGGACUGCAACUGACGCUGAGGCGCGAAAGUGUGGGGAGCAAACAGGAUUAGAUACCCUGGUAGUCCACACUGUAAACGAUGAAUGCUAGGUGUAGGGGGUAUCGACCCCUUCUGUGCCGCAGUAAACACAAUAAGCAUUCCGCCUGGGGAGUACGGUCGCAAGAUUAAAACUCAAAGGAAUUGACGGGGGCCCGCACAAGCAGCGGAGCAUGUGGUUUAAUUCGAAGCAACGCGAAGAACCUUACCAGGUCUUGACAUCCAUUUAAACUUGUAGAGAUAUGAGGUCCCUUCGGGGGAAAUGAGACAGGUGGUGCAUGGUUGUCGUCAGCUCGUGUCGUGAGAUGUUGGGUUAAGUCCCGCAACGAGCGCAACCCUAAUCG